This 2564-nucleotide long non-coding RNA is filed under the name Homo sapiens (human). RNAcentral's name for it is "HSALNT0087602". The record is from RNAcentral. Lineage: Eukaryota; Metazoa; Chordata; Mammalia; Primates; Hominidae.
CACAAUCAUGGCUGAAGACAAACCAGGAGCAAAGAGAUGUCUUACGUGCCAGCAGGCAAGAGAAUUCACUAUGGCUUUUUACAAUGAAGACUUUUUUCAUUUUUGCAUUUCCAUCAUUUUGCAUGGUGUCUGUCAUUGUUCUUGCACUUUGCGGCCACUAUGGAGUACAAUAAGGGUUACCUGAACACGAGUACUGCAAAACAAUGACAGUCAAACUAAUAACUGAGAAGGCUACUAAGUGAAUACUAGGUGAAGAGCAUAGACAGUAUGGAUACACUGGACAAAGAGAAGAGUCACAUCCCUGGCAGGACAGAGCAGGAGGACAGCAUGAGAUUUUCAUCACGUACACAGAAUGGUGGGCAAUUUAAAACUUAUGAAUUAUUUCUGAAAUUUUCCAUUUACUGUGCUUGGACUAUGGUUGACUAUGGGUAACUGAUACUGUGGAAAGUAAAACCCUGCAGAGUGAAAACGUGGAUAAGGAAAGACAACUUUAAUACUUUUUAGUAUAUUAAAAGUAAAGAUUUUGUUAACAGUUUUCUAAAUCUUACAUCUGAAAAUGUCAAAUAACAAAAUACAAAUUUGUUAAUAAUCAGAAAAUGUGCCUUUAAAGCUAGUACGAAAGAGAAAAUGUGUUAAAGCUUACAUAAUUCAAGACGAUAAGAGAAAAACUAUAAUUCUGUGUUUUUAAAACUCAAACCAUGCAACUGAUAAACUCCUCAUAUUACUUCCAUUAUGUACAUUUAAUUGUAAAUUAUAUGGAUAAUACCACAUAUGUAGGAUUAUUAGAAGGGAAGACAAUGUGCCCCAGUAUCAAACUGUAGAAAUUAAUUUUAUUCUCCAACCCAAAAUCACUCAAUAAUUUUAAUACAAAUGCCCUAUGACUUUCAUAUUAUAGUCCACAAUAUGGAAAUUCAUAUGCUCUAAUAGUAAAUAAUACUUUAGUAAAUGUCCAUAAAUCACUCUAUUUUCUUCUUUGUAAUUUGUAUUUUUUAUUUAUUUAAUUUCUUUAGAGAUAGCGUAUUGCUCUGUAACCCAGGCUGGAGUGCAGUGGCAUGAUCCCACCUCACUGCAGCCUCAACCUCUGGGGCUCAAGCAAUCCUCCCACCUCAGCCUCCCCAGCAGCCGGGACCACAGAUGCACACCACCACAUGCAGUUAAUUUUUUAAUUUUUUGUAGAAUGAGGUCUCACCAUGUUACCCAGGCUAGUCUCAAACUCCCGGGCACUAGUGGUUCUCCUGCCUCGGCCUCCCAAGUGCUAGGAUUAUAGGUGUAAUUUUUAAAUAAGUGCCAUGUACAAUUUCACAGAGUGCCCUAGUUUUGUAACAGGCAGUUAGGCAUGAGUGGGGCAGGAGAGGGCUCUCCCCCAACCCACUAGAAAUGUCAGGUGAUGAUUCCAGAAUUAUUUCUUUGCCUCUCUUAAAAAUGAUAAUUCACCUACCAGGGAGAAAUCUCCUGAUGGUCCACACCUGUUAACAUUAAAAGUGUUAACUGAAGGCAGAUCUCAGGGAGAAACAGUUUCUGGGCAUGCUUGUUAAGAGACGAAAAUGGUGAAGUAUGAUAUUCCAGGUACACUCCACUGGAAAAAGGAAGAAAGCCUCAGAUGGGCAUAUGUAUAACUCCGUGAACACACUGUGUUUGCUCACUUUCCAAGGGUAAGGAGGGCUCUGCGCACGCGGGAAGCUCACUCUAAGCAAAGAAUUAUGGGAAAGAGGCAAGCUUAUUAAGUCCUAGGAUCAAGGUUAAAGGCUCUUUUUUUUUUUCUGUUAUCUUUUGUCCUUUUUUUCUCUCUUGGACCUUCAGGCGUCUGCUUGGGUCUCUUUCAAGCGAAUUUUCCUUUCCCUCCUGUUCUAAAGCCUUUUUAAAUAAACUUCCACUCCUGCUCUAGAACUUGCCUCUCUUUUUCUGCUUUAUGCCCUCAGUCAAGUUCUUUCUUCUGAGGAGGCAAGGACUGAAGUUGGGAGGGACACAUACGGAUACACUGUUGGUAACUUGGGAUAACUCAGAUCUCUGGUAACAGUUUCAAGGCAUUGGUAGAAUACUUUACAUUCAGAAAUCCAAAUAAUUUUUGUUUUAAGUCAUCAAAUUUGUGGCCCAGCAUAAUAAAAGAUACGGUUGUUUCCUCCCUUUCAGUUUGAGAAUUCCUACAGGAAACAUUUGUGUUAAAGAAAUAUGAUUAUCAAUGUUAAUGAUUACAUAAUUAUUAGUUAUUGUUUUUUCAUUGUGGAAAAUGAAUUUCAACUCAGAUUUACCAACAAAUAUUUACUUAUUCUAUUCUAAUGGCAUUUAGUUUAGUUUGUUUGUUUUUGGGGGUAGUGGUAACAUGAAAAAACUAAAGGGCUUCUGUGAUAGGAUUUUAAAAUAUUCACAUAUAUUUCUACUUCAAGCAAUAAUUACUUUCUCUGUUCACAUCAAAUACAGACUGGGUGAAACACAGUAAAGAGGACUUAUUUCCUGUUAAUAGAUAUUACUUGACAUUUAGCUUUAAUGCUGGAAAAUAAAAGCAGUUUAUAAUGUCCAGAAGAGCUUUUUCUUUUUUGCUUACAGAGCACUUAAGUGUCAUCUUA